RNAcentral lists this unclassified non-coding RNA (716 nucleotides) under uncultured cyanobacterium. RNAcentral's name for it is "partial contains 16S ribosomal RNA, 16S-23S ribosomal RNA intergenic spacer, and 23S ribosomal RNA". The stretch from base 1 to 112 matches the Rfam family "Bacterial small subunit ribosomal RNA", at positions 1423 to 1533 of the family's 1533-position model. Lineage: Bacteria; Bacillati; Cyanobacteriota. The record is from RNAcentral.
GAAGUCGUUACUUCAACCCUUGUGGAGGAGGACGCCGAAGGUGGGGCUAAUGACUGGGGUGAAGUCGUAACAAGGUAGCCGUACCGGAAGGUGCGGCUGGAUCACCUCCUAACAGGGAGACAACAAAAUGUAAAUAUUAAUUUUGUCACCUUAGGUCGAUCGGUAUCUCAGAUUCUUACUAUUUAAGAAUUUCAGUUUCUAAGUCUUUUCUAGGUCACACCCAUCACUUUUUCCUGGGCCAUUAGCUCAGGUGGUUAGAGCGCACCCCUGAUAAGGGUGAGGUCCCUGGUUCAAGUCCAGGAUGGCCCAUAUCUCUAUGUUGGGGGUAUAGCUCAGUUGGUAGAGCGCCUGCUUUGCAAGCAGGAUGUCAGCGGUUCGAGUCCGCUUACCUCCACUGAAUACCACCUCUUACAUAUUUUUAAAGAGGGAAAUUGUUAUGAGUCGUGUCCUAAUUUGCUCUGAGCGAAUCUAGCUUCCUAUUUUUAUUCAAUAAAUAAGAUGCUGGACUCAUUGAAUUUUUUUCACUGUUUUCAGAGAACCUUGACAACUGCAUAGAUUAUUUUGAAGACAAUAAGCAUCUUUAAUGGUGCAGAUUUAUUAUUUGUGCGAAUGCAUUAAAUAACAAUUCUAUUACGCUGAUGCUUCAAUUAUUGAAGUUAUUGGUCAAGCUACAAAGGGCCUCACGGAGGAUACCUACGCACACUAGAGGCUAUGAA